GACGAACGCUGGCGGCGUGCUUAACACAUGCAAGUCGAACGGGAUUUAGUAAACAGAAACCUCUGUGGAAGAUUACUUAUUAUAGUAGCGAACUGGUUAUUAACUCUUUAGCAACCUUCCUAUUUCAGUGGGAUAGCCUCUUGAAACCGGGAUUAAUACCUCAUAAAAUCGUAGAAACACAUGUUUUAACGUUCAAAGAUUUAUCGGUAAUAGAUGGUCUCGCGUCUGAUUAGCUUGUUUGUGAGAUAACAGCCCACCAAGGCUACGAUCAGUAGACGGUAAGAGAGGAAGAACGGCAACAAUGGAAAAGAGACACGGACCAAAAGACUACGGGAGGCAGGAGAGGGGAAUAUAGCAAAAUGGGGGAAAACCUGAUGAAGCGACGCCGGGUGAACGAAGAAGGUAGUCGUAAAGUAAAGUUCUGUAAUAUGGGAAGAUAAUGACAGUACCAAAGAAGAAAGCACCGGCUAAAUACGUG
This 478-nucleotide ribosomal RNA is filed under the name uncultured bacterium. RNAcentral describes it as "partial 16S ribosomal RNA". It matches the Rfam family "Bacterial small subunit ribosomal RNA", at positions 28 to 507 of the family's 1533-position model. The record is from RNAcentral.